GAUAGUGUGGCCGAGUGGUUUAUGGCGCUGGUUUUAGGCACCAGUCUCUUCGGAGGCAAGGGUUCGAAUCCCUUCACUGUCA
This 82-nucleotide transfer RNA is filed under the name Daphnia pulicaria. RNAcentral describes it as "tRNA-Leu". It matches the Rfam family "tRNA". From Rfam's summary of the family: Transfer RNA (tRNA) molecules are approximately 80 nucleotides in length. Lineage: Eukaryota; Metazoa; Arthropoda; Branchiopoda; Diplostraca; Daphniidae. The record is from RNAcentral.